GAUGAACGCUGGCGGCGUGCCUAAUACAUGCAAGUCGAGCGAACAGACGAGGAGCUUGCUCCUCUGACGUUAGCGGCGGACGGGUGAGUAACACGUGGAUAACCUACCUAUAAGACUGGGAUAACUUCGGGAAACCGGUGCUAAUACCGGAUAAUAUAUUGAACCGCAUGGUUCAAUAGUGAAAGACGGUUUUGCUGUCACUUAUAGAUGGAUCCGCGCCGCAUUAGCUAGUUGGUAAGGUAACGGCUUACCAAGGGAACGAUGCUGAGCCGACCUGAGAGGGUGAUCGGCCACACUGGAACUGAGACACGGUCCAGACUCCUACGGGAGGCAGCAGUAGGGAAUCUUCCGCAAUGGGCGAAAGCCUGACGGAGCAACGCCGCGUGAGUGAUGAAGGUCUUCGGAUCUUAAAACUCUGUUAUUAGGGAAGAACAAAUGUGUAAGUAACUAUGCACGUCUUGACGGUACCUAAUCAGAAAGCCACGGCUAACUACGUG
Molecule: ribosomal RNA, 497 nt
Filed under: uncultured bacterium
Lineage: Bacteria
Description: partial 16S ribosomal RNA
Rfam family: Bacterial small subunit ribosomal RNA
Source: RNAcentral